RNAcentral lists this long non-coding RNA (629 nucleotides) under Arabidopsis thaliana (thale cress). RNAcentral describes it as "long non-coding RNA (ATHA_LNC000191)". The record is from RNAcentral. Lineage: Eukaryota; Viridiplantae; Streptophyta; Magnoliopsida; Brassicales; Brassicaceae.
AUAACACACAGGUCAUAUCACACGUGUGUAGGCACAUGCAUUCAGUUUGUUCUCCUCCCUGAUGAUAAGAAGACAAAAGAAACACAAAGCCAGAAACUCGUCAGGUCAGGAUGCAUGAAAAUUUAAAAGAAUAGAUCAAAGAUGAUAUAGAUGCUUACGUCUCUGAAAGCCAGGGCAACGCGAAUUUCCAUAGGAUCCCUGAGGAACUUUCGAGCCAAAGACAUGUCGUCGCGGAUAAUUUCUCUUCCCAUUUGUUCGACCAACUUGUGCAUGAUAACAGAUCCAUUAGUUGAUAUUUUGAUGAGAGAUUUCUCUGCUAAAACUCUUAUCCACAGGCUGCUCUGAGGUAUGGGGCCAUGAAGAAGGGAAGUGAUUCGCUGGAGAGUGUCUCCAUUGAAGAGACAGACAACAUGAAGGAAUACAUUCUGAUGUGGUUUUGGUAAGCCCUCGUAGCUAAUUUUCAAGAUUUCCAUUAUAUUCUCGUCAAGACUGCUUUCAAGUGCACCCAGUGCUUCUUCCCACUCCUCAGGACUCGCUGUCCUUCCACGGAGAAAUAAUGCAUAGGCUUGAAUGGCAGAAGGAAGCCCGUGAGCAAGCUUAGAAGCUCGGAUUGAGAGUUGGUCAAAACC